AUUCUGCCCACAUUUGACCUCAACAAGAUUAUAGGCCUGUACCUGAGGUGCACCAGUGGGGAAGUUGGUGCCACGUCUGACCUUGACCUCCUGGAUCUAUCUGUUUUCAAAAACGGUUGGUGAUAAUAUCACCCAAAGCAACCAGUGACUAGAAUGGUCUUAGUAUUACAGUGGAACUGACCAUUCAGAACAGACAGGCCAAAUUGAGGUGGUACUUUUUGUCUCUGUCCUGAUGAUCAAAGUCCCCAAGGAACCAGUCAGAGACAGAAAGAAGCAGAAAAACAUUAAGCACAGUGACAGUAUCACUUUUGAUGACAUUGUCAAGAUUGCCCAACAGAUGCAGCACCAGUCUUUAAUUAGAGAACUCUGGAACCAUAAAAUAGCUUUGGAGUACUGCACAGUUUGUGGGCUGUAAUGUUGAUGGCCACCACCUUCAUGAUAUCAUAGAUGACAUCAACAGUGAUGCAGUGGAAUGCCCAGCUAGUUUA
RNAcentral lists this long non-coding RNA (488 nucleotides) under Homo sapiens (human). RNAcentral describes it as "non-protein coding lnc-KIAA1328-8:1". Lineage: Eukaryota; Metazoa; Chordata; Mammalia; Primates; Hominidae. The record is from RNAcentral.